Methanofollis liminatans DSM 4140 is the source of this 72-nucleotide non-coding RNA. The record is from Rfam. Lineage: Archaea; Methanobacteriati; Methanobacteriota; Methanomicrobia; Methanomicrobiales; Methanomicrobiaceae.
GGGCUCGUAGAUCAGGGGAAGAUCGCAUCGUUCGCAACGAUGAGGCCGCGGGUUCAAUUCCCGCCGGGUCCA